CCUACGGUGGCAGCAGUAGGGAAUCUUCCACCACGGGCGCAAGCCUGAUGGAGCAACACCGCGUGAGUGAAGAAGGGUUUCGGCUCGUAAAGCUCUGUUGUUGGAGAAGAACGUGCGUGAGAGUAACUGUUCAAGCAGCGACGGUAUCCAACCAGAAAGUCACGGCUAACUACGUGCCAGCAGCCGCGGUAAUACGUAGGUGGCAAGCGUUAUCCGGAUUUAUGGGGCGUAAAGCGAGCGCAGGCGGUUGCUUAGGUCUGAUGUGAAAGCCUUCGGCUUAACCGAAGGAGUGCACAGGAAACCGGGAGACUUGAGUGCAGAAGAGGACAGUGGAACUCCAUGUGUAGCGGUGGAAUGCGUAGAUAUAGGGAAGAACACUAGUGGCGAAGGCGGCUGUCUGGUCUGCAACUGACGCUGAGGCUCGAAAGCAUGGGUAGCGAACAGGAUUAGAUACCCGGGUAGUC
This 464-nucleotide ribosomal RNA is filed under the name uncultured bacterium. RNAcentral's name for it is "partial 16S ribosomal RNA". It matches the Rfam family "Bacterial small subunit ribosomal RNA", at positions 338 to 795 of the family's 1533-position model. The record is from RNAcentral.